CAUAAACACGGCAAGAUGGCGGCGCUCACGCCGCCCGCCCGCCCGUGCUGCGUCAUGUCGCGCCCCGGCCCCGCCGCGCCCGCAGGCUCGCCGAGAUUUGCGUUCAAGCCGCGCUGAGGAAGAUGGAAAUGAGGUUUGCUCCCCACACGCCUCAUGAGCCCGUAUAGGCUGAGAGCAGCUCGCAGCGCUGGAAGAUCCUCGACCCGAGGCUGAGAGCUGCAGUUCGGGUUUUUUGAUGCACAGGGAUGUGCAUCUGCCACUGGAAAAAGCCUCUUUCAACCAGAGCAGAAAACAGAGAAAACCAUGAGGACUGCUUGGGUUUUUCCUUGGAUCUUCUUAAGCCAGGCGCUGCAGCCUCACCUGUAGCUCAGGACACGGCAGUCCCCAGUGCUGUGCCCACACAGGGUCACUUUUUAAAUUAAGGCAAAUUUGCUCAGAUUUGGUUCUGGACAGCAGUGCCAGGGGAGCCCAGAGCUGGAGCCCAUGGGAUGGAAGGGUGGAGAGGGCAGGGGGUUGUGGGUGCUCCCUCUGCCACCUCCUCCCCACGGUGAAUGUCAGAGCUCUAUUGACUGCCCUCUCUUUGAAUUAACUCCAGGAGCAGGCAAAGUACACUGAAUAAUUCAGGAGAGAUGUGUUUAAACAUUUGCACAAGCUUCAGAUUCCUCCUGCCUAAAAAUAAGUCUGGCAGAGAGCAAAUGGUUCCUGGUCAAGGUGUUGGUGAAUGGACAACAGAGCUGUGGACCCCAUCCCAGCACCCAAGAAGACCCCAUCCAUGGGUCUUGUCCCUGCUGCUGGGACCAGCCUGGCGCUGAUGGUGGUGGAAAGUUCAUGAGCUGAGGGCUGCACACACAAGGGCAGCACCAGCACAGGCAGGUUUGGUCUGCUGGUAGCAAAGAGCCCUGGGGAAAGGGCUGGUAGAGGAGCAGGGGAGGUCAGUGAGCAUCAGGGGUUUAAGUGCUACAGGGAGAGCUGUUUUCCGUGGUGGGAUUCUCACCUCCUCCAUUUUUUAAAAUGAGCUUAAGGAAAACGCACAAGAAAAAGGUGUCAGUGUUUGAGCAGAAGUGAUUCUUCCAGAUGGAAGUGGAUGAGGAGGAGUCAGUCCUUUUCUCAUGGAAGCACGGGCUGUGCUGGAUGCCAUGGACAGAUCACAGAGACAAUGUGAGAAGCUCCAUGAGGAUGUUCCUGAUUUCCUGUGUUCCAUAUGCAAGCAGUUUCCUGAAACACGUGUGCUCACAUUCCCUGAGUGAUAAAAAAGUCACAUGGUUGGCUGAGCAAAAUCUCCUCACUGUGCAGAGCAACCACGUCUCCAGCAUCCAAAACCUUGCUGCAUCCUGGUUUGAAAUGUAUCCAGGGGACUCUGGAAAUGAAAAUUUCCAGAGGUUUAUUGCUAAUUAAGCCUAAUUAAUUUUGGAUGUAAACGUACCAAGCUUCUGUAGUUGUGUUUGCAGCCCUAUUAAAGGAAAUCUCAUGGGUGUUUUAUCUGAAAAUUAUUAGAGGAACAAGGUCUGUUUAGUUUCUUCUUAGACUAUGGACUUCUCACUUCUUCACCACUUGAACGCGGCUAAGUUAAUAUCGCAGCCUUUUAAAACAACUGCCUGAAAUACAAGAGGAAAUGAGGAAAACAGAGAGAUGGGAGAAAAUUCCUACACUGCUCCUCACCUCCAUAGGUUUCAUGGACUGGAGUGGUAACAUCAGCUAUUUCCAACAGAUUUUGUGUUGCAGCCUGGAUGUUCUCAGUAGGUUUGAAACCCAUAUCCAAGUGCACUGUGACAAUUCUGCUCUUAAUGUGUGCCAUUUAAAGGCCAGCCAGGAUGACAGAGACCAGCCAGAAUGUCACAUUUCUCUGUCUCUUAAGAUCCUUGACACUUUCUUUUUUCCUCUUCCCACACCUUUCCACAGCAGCUACAUGGUCCUGCUGACUCCAUUCAACCAGCACAGCAGGACUGGGGCCCUCAGCUCAUCCCUAAUGCGAAAAAACUCCACUUUCCUCCAGACUUGGAGCUUGUUUGCCACCCUGCCUGUAUUUCUGAACCCUCUGUGCCAUUAUGAACAACACCCUUCCUGGGAACACAACCUUAAUUCCCAAUCUCCUUAUGACAGAGGGAGGGGGAAUAUGGUGAAGCCCAGCUCAAAAUGCUGCUUUGUAACCCAGACUGAGGAACUGGAAUUUCCAAAAGUGCACGUGAGAAAAACAGCAGCAGCAGAGUGAGCUUUGGAAUUUGUCCAAGCAUUAAAGAUUUUAGAAAUGCUACGUGCUCUAUGUCACAUGUGUCCCCCUGAGUGGGACGGGGAACCUGCAAUGCUGGGCAUGACCUGAGAAAUGCCCCAGCCAUGUAAACAAGCUCUGGGGUGUGUGGGCAGAGAGGGACAUGAUCAAUAUUGUAUCAUUUUGGUGAUAAACGUGGCGUUUCUGAUCCUAAAAUAUUUAAUUCUUGCUCUGGUUGAGGUCACUGCUCUGCUUUGUCCCCUCCUGUGCUUUGUGCCUCUCCACCAGCACAUUCCAGUUCCAGUAAGUGCUAAACUUACCCUUAUAAAAGCCAGCUGUUGCACAUACAGCUUUUUCUGGGAUAUGUAUAUCUCUCCCAGAGAAAAAGCUCCAUAUAUAUCCAUAAAUACCCGUGGACGUGGAGUCAGUCUAUGAGCAGGAGCAUUGUCUAGCUCCAGUGGUGUGGCUGGCAGACAGCCAGGCAGCAAGUGGGUACCUGUGAGCUGUGCCAGCACCAAGCUCAUCCUUCUGGAAAGGGCUCUGCUGGGAAGUGGAUGAGCUCAAGAAAAUGCAUUUGAGCUUCUGGGCAGUAUUGAUCUGUCUUUAUGUAUUUUAUUAAUCUGCUUGAAGCAUAAUAAAAACGUGCUCAUGGAAUGAGUUGGAGUUCAGAGGAGGGGGAGCCAGAAGUGGGGUUUGGAGCUGGCCACCAUCACCAUCUUCAUCCUUUGCAGCUGCUCUAGAGCUCGACACAAACCCAGUUUCUGCUUCCCAACAAGGCAACAGAAGGGAUAUUUUUCAGCAGAGAAAUUUGGGGGAAAAAAAUGAAAAUAAAGCUGUUGGUUUGGUUUGGUGUAAGAACAGUGAACAAGCAGAAAGAUGUCAAUGGGAAAGAGCAGACGAUGAGGGCAAGCAGCAACAUGAACACGCCUGCUGCAGGGUUGAGACACAGCAGCAGCAUCUUCCCACUCCCCAGCUUGGAGCAAAGUGAGUGAACUCCAUCCCCCCGGCCAGGAAAGUCGGGAAUAGAGCUCCUGUCCCACCUCCCACACACGGCUCUGGCAGCUCGCUCCAGCCCUGCCCAGGAAAUCCCCCUGCAGCAUGGUUGUGGCACCCUCGGAACAGGGGCUGCUCUGCGUGGGCAGAAUCUAAUCUUCUUUGUGCAAAGUACCCUUGGACUACCGACAUGAAGUAGCUCUCCUUCCACAAACUGAGAUUAUUCGCUUUUAAAAAAAGGGUUGAGCCCCAUCUUCAGAAGUAGUUAAUUACUCGGAAGCAAUUCACACCUUCCUGGUGUCUCAAAAUAAAUUCUCUCACUUGCUUUUCCAAGCAGAGCCCUCUGAAAACAGUGUCACCAGCGGGGUUUCACGCAUGUUCCAUGAGCACAGGAAGCUGAAGAUAAAUUCAGCAACAGAUCAGAUGUAAAGAACUUGUGUACUUGGGUGUCUAUUUAUACAGCUCCUGUGCCAGUCCCACGAGUAGCCAGGGGCCUCACAGGCUCUGCGAUAUUCCGUGGGGAUGGGGUGCAGUGGUACCCACCACACCCAGCUGAAGGGGUGGUUUGGGACACCCAGGGUUUGCCUGGGUGAGCCCCUCCACCUGUGCUGCCCCAAAGCUGCUCUUCCUGGCCCUGCAUCCUGGCUCCUCCCCAUCCUCCAGCAUGGGGAGAACCAGAAAUAAAAUUAAUAAAAUUAUUUCUAAUUUCAACACCAGUCUGCAGAAGCGCACAAGGGCAUGGAGUUGUUCUCAGAAUGCUCUCAAAUACUACUACAGGUUAAGGAAUUUUACAUCCCUGUUUACUCAUCACACUGAGCCUCUGACUUCAUUGCAUCCUCCUGAAUUUUGCUGAUACGAGUGAGGAGAACCAGGCCCCAGAGUUACUGCCAGGAACAAAUCAAUGACAAACUGGAAGUGCUUAGCUGGUGUUAAAUCACCUUUAUAUAAAGGUCCUGUCAAUCCCAAGCUGAUGCCAUUGGUGAUUUAAAGCACUUUACCAUAUGCCCCUCACUGUACCUUGAAAUACAAUGAAAAAAAAAGCUUUUAAAACAUUUAUACAUUUUAAAGUAGAGUGGAAAUAUCCCAUUUCAGAGGCAAAGGUGAAGCUUGAAAUCAAACUGCAGAGUGGGCAAGUAAGGGAUAAUCUGUGCAUCCAUCCCUACCCUUUAAAGAAGGCUACAAGAGAGAAUUUGUUGGAAUUUAGCAUGAUUUUUAAAUCACAAAUGCCAAGACAGUCAGAUCUCAUGUUCUGUAUUUUGCCUUUUAUUUUUUUGGUGGAGAAUAUCAGUGAAUCGUGGAAUUUGCAAAAUAAAGAAGGAUGUAAGAUACAAGAUA
This is a long non-coding RNA of Corvus hawaiiensis (hawaiian crow), 4534 nucleotides long. RefSeq lists it as uncharacterized. The record is from RefSeq and is a predicted model, not a curated record. NCBI's taxonomy places the organism in Eukaryota, Metazoa, Chordata, Aves, Passeriformes, Corvidae. The transcript is spliced from 3 exons.